Molecule: long non-coding RNA, 1336 nt
Filed under: Callithrix jacchus (white-tufted-ear marmoset)
Lineage: Eukaryota; Metazoa; Chordata; Mammalia; Primates; Cebidae
Description: lncRNA (ENSCJAG00000086041.1)
Source: RNAcentral
UUAAGACGGAUUUGUUCUCCAGGUCUGAGGCCGUCGACACGGUCUUCUUACAGUUAUGUGAGAUGCACGAGACGGACAUGACGCGCCCCAUUCAUCAGCAGAACGCAAACAGAUUCGGGGAUUUCCCAAAGGUGCAUCCCUUGAUGAUGCAGAUGUGGGGCCGGCCCGGUGCGAAUGUGCCCUCAGUGCAGCUGUGUCUGUUCCUAGGAGCAACUCAGCAACUCAGACACAAAGCCACCAAACUCGAGCUGGGAAGGGCCAGUGUCACCAGGACCCGUGACCGGCAUUCCACAUUCAUACUCCAGGAGAGUGACUGCUGAUCAUCGUGAAGCAGGAUUCAUCUUGUGAUUAUAAGAAUAUUUUUUGGAAUAUAUGUUUAUCCAACCUGGUAAAAUGCAAUCCAGAUUCAGAGGGACAUUUGCUUUAUCCUGAACUCAAUUGCAGGAAAACUCAGAUCCCUGCUGAAGGGAUCUGAGUUUAUGGGUAAGUCCCACAGUCUCUAAGGGAAAGAGCCAAAUCUGCUGCAGCUCUCAAAGAGCUCCCCUCACCCCCAGCCGUAACACUUGGGCUCACUUUGCUCUAAGCACGCAGGUUCCUUGUGGUCCUCAGGCCCUCCGAAGAGGUUCCGCCUUCAGGGUCUUCUCCUGCGACGUGAGUAUCAGUAAUCCUGUCUGGCAGGAAGAGUAACCUUCCCCCUCACGUCUGAUAACAGUUCGGUCCAUCUACGUGAACCUUGUUUUGUUAUCCAAACCCUGCCUGUUUUCAGGAUGAACUCAGGGUAAUUUUAUUUCCACUUAGCUCUCAGGAAACAUUACUGUUCAGAGCAUUUCUACUCAAAGACGUUCUUAGUAAACAAUCCAGGAUGUUUUGUUUGAUUAUUUUGUGAUCAUUUUUUAAAACUCGAGAAUAUCAGUCUUGUUCAGCAGCCUUGAAAACCACAGCUCCUUGAAUAGGAGUUAUUUAUAAGGUUAGAAUGAAACUUUGACUCUCCGGCAAUUUGAUGGGUUAGACAUCAAAAGCCCACUAGACCGUGAGAUUCUUCAUGUCAGGGCCUGGAAUUUGAUGCUUUUGCUGACACCAAGUAGAUGAAAGGAGGAUAGAAUUAUUCAGUAGGAUUAUUUGACUGAAUGACCCCAACCUCGUAGGGAGGAUCUUCUCAGGAAGCAAGUGAGUGGCGGAGGCUAAGACAUAGUGGGGGAGGGAGGGUUGACAUGAGAGCACACACAGAGGUGGGUGCAAGUCUGCAGGGGCUGGUCUCGUCCCUGGUGAAUGGGCUGCCUGUUUGCUGGUCACAUCGGACAGUAUCCACUAUACCAGUGCUUACUCAAAACUGAAC